GAACUUGGCGGCGUGCUAUACAUGCAAGUCGAACGAACUCUGGUAUUGAUUGGUGCUUGCAUCAUGAUUUACAUUUGAGUGAGUGGCGAACUGGUGAGUAACACGUGGGAAACCUGCCCAGAAGCGGGGGAUAACACCUGGAAACAGAUGCUAAUACCGCAUAACAACUUGGACCGCAUGGUCCGAGCUUGAAAGAUGGCUUCGGCUAUCACUUUUGGAUGGUCCCGCGGCGUAUUAGCUAGAUGGUGGGGUAACGGCUCACCAUGGCAAUGAUACGUAGCCGACCUGAGAGGGUAAUCGGCCACAUUGGGACUGAGACACGGCCCAAACUCCUACGGGAGGCAGCAGUAGGGAAUCUUCCACAAUGGACGAAAGUCUGAUGGAGCAACGCCGCGUGAGUGAAGAAGGGUUUCGGCUCGUAAAACUCUGUUGUUAAAGAAGAACAUAUCUGAGAGUAACUGUUCAGGUAUUGACGGUAUUUAACCAGAAAGCCACGGCUAACUACGUGCCAGCAGCCGCGGUAAUACGUAGGUGGCAAGCGUUGUCCGGAUUUAUUGGGCGUAAAGCGAGCGCAGGCGGUUUUUUAAGUCUGAUGUGAAAGCCUUCGGCUCAACCGAAGAAGUGCAUCGGAAACUGGGAAACUUGAGUGCAGAAGAGGACAGUGGAACUCCAUGUGUAGCGGUGAAAUGCGUAGAUAUAUGGAAGAACACCAGUGGCGAAGGCGGCUGUCUGGUCUGUAACUGACGCUGAGGCUCGAAAGUAUGGGUAGCAAACAGGAUUAGAUACCCUGGUAGUCCAUACCGUAAACGAUGAAUGCUAAGUGUUGGAGGGUUUCCGCCCUUCAGUGCUGCAGCUAACGCAUUAAGCAUUCCGCCUGGGGAGUACGGCCGCAAGGCUGAAACUCAAAGGAAUUGACGGGGGCCCGCACAAGCGGUGGAGCAUGUGGUUUAAUUCGAAGCUACGCGAAGAACCUUACCAGGUCUUGACAUACUAUGCAAAUCUAAGAGAUUAGACGUUCCCUUCGGGGACAUGGAUACAGGUGGUGCAUGGUUGUCGUCAGCUCGUGUCGUGAGAUGUUGGGUUAAGUCCCGCAACGAGCGCAACCCUUAUUAUCAGUUGCCAGCAUUAAGUUGGGCACUCUGGUGAGACUGCCGGUGACAAACCGGAGGAAGGUGGGGAUGACGUCAAAUCAUCAUGCCCCUUAUGACCUGGGCUACACACGUGCUACAAUGGAUGGUACAACGAGUUGCGAACUCGCGAGAGUAAGCUAAUCUCUUAAAGCCAUUCUCAGUUCGGAUUGUAGGCUGCAACUCGCCUACAUGAAGUCGGAAUCGCUAGUAAUCGCGGAUCAGCAUGCCGCGGUGAAUACGUUCCCGGGCCUUGUACACACCGCCCGUCACACCAUGAGAGUUUGUAACACCCAAAGUCGGUGGGGUAACCUUUUAGGAACCAGCCGCCUAAGGUGGACCAGGAGAAUUU
RNAcentral lists this ribosomal RNA (1479 nucleotides) under Lactiplantibacillus plantarum. RNAcentral's name for it is "bacterial SSU rRNA". It matches the Rfam family "Bacterial small subunit ribosomal RNA". Lineage: Bacteria; Bacillati; Bacillota; Bacilli; Lactobacillales; Lactobacillaceae. The record is from RNAcentral.